Molecule: ribosomal RNA, 392 nt
Filed under: uncultured bacterium
Lineage: Bacteria
Description: bacterial SSU rRNA
Rfam family: Bacterial small subunit ribosomal RNA
Source: RNAcentral
AGAAAUGGACGAAAGUCUGAUCUAGCAACACCGCGUGUGCGAAGAAGGCCUUUGGGUCAUAAAGCACUUUUUGGAAGGAAUAGGAAAACAUGAACUUCCAGAAUAAGUCUCGGCUAACUACGUGCCAGCAGCCGCGGUAACACGUAGGAGGCAAACGUUAUCCGGAUUUACUGGGCGUAAAGCGCGUGUAGGUGUUACUGUAAGUAGGGCGUGAAAGCUCCUGGCUCAACUGGGAACGGCCGUUCUAAACUACAGAACUAGAGGAUGGUAGAGGGAGGUGGAAUUCCAGGUGUAGCGGUGGAAUGCGCAGAUAUCUGGAGGAACACCGUUGGCGAAGGCGGCCUCCUGGACUGUUCCUGACACUCAGACGCGAAAGCUAGGGUAGCAAACGG